This 494-nucleotide ribosomal RNA is filed under the name uncultured bacterium. Its description in RNAcentral is "bacterial SSU rRNA". It matches the Rfam family "Bacterial small subunit ribosomal RNA", at positions 29 to 518 of the family's 1533-position model. The record is from RNAcentral.
AUGAACGCUAGCGACAGGCCUAACACAUGCAAGUCGAGGGGCAGCACAAGGAGCAAUCUGAGGUGGCGACCGGCGCACGGGUGAGUAACACGUAUGCAACCUGCCUGUAAGCGGGGAAUAACCCGUUGAAAGACGGACUAAUACCGCAUAAUACUAAAUUACUGCAUGGUAAUUUAUUUAAACAUUUAUGGCUUACAGAUGGGCAUGCGCAUGAUUAGCUAGUUGGAGAGGUAACGGCUCCCCAAGGCAACGAUCAUUAGGGGUUCUGAGAGGAAGGCCCCCACACUGGUACUGAGACACGGACCAGACUCCUACGGGAGGCAGCAGUGAGGAAUAUUGGUCAAUGGACGAGAGUCUGAACCAGCCAAGUCGCGUGCAGGAAGAAUGUCCUAAUGGAUUGUAAACUGCUUUUGCAGGGGAAUAAAGUGCAUCACGUGUGAUGUUUUGUAUGUACUCUGCGAAUAAGGAUCGGCUAACUCCGUGCCAGCCGCAGC